Molecule: non-coding RNA, 75 nt
Organism: Myotis davidii
Lineage: Eukaryota; Metazoa; Chordata; Mammalia; Chiroptera; Vespertilionidae
Source: Rfam
GGCGGUUCUGGGGUGAUAUACCCCGGAAUCAGGCUCCCUCCUCUCUGGUUCCGGAUACAUCACCCAAGAACUGCA